Molecule: long non-coding RNA, 1791 nt
Organism: Paramisgurnus dabryanus
Lineage: Eukaryota; Metazoa; Chordata; Actinopteri; Cypriniformes; Cobitidae
Source: RefSeq, a predicted model, not a curated record
UUAAGACAUCCAGGCUAAAUGGCUAAGCUGAGCUCAAUGAAGCCAAAACAAGUGCGUCCACGCUUAAUUGGUUGCACAAAGACCAAGCCAGGAUGAUCAGACACGGAUUCAUCAAGCCAGGUGAAACCAAUCCUGGAUAGGUGCGCGCUCACGGCUCACUCAACUAGACCCCGCCACCGAUCACAGAUUCACCGAUUCACCAUGGCAACUAGCGGCGUUCUUUUCCCCGUCAGAGGCACAAAUCCAUACGAGGAGGUAAAAGACAUAAUUAAGAAGAAAGGCAACACCGCCACAGUGGUAAAGCAGAGAGAAAAAGCGUGGCAAAGUAUUGCAGACCGCCUGAAUGCAUUAAAUAUGACCGGGCCAAAACGGACAUGGCAGCAGGUCAAAAUCAAAAUCUGCAGAAUGCAGUGAAAAAGAAUACCCAGAGACAAGGCACGGGUGGUGGGUCACCAAAAGCUGACCUCAUCCCAGCAGAGGCCAGCUUUGGAGUUAAAUAAAGGCAGGCCUGUUGGAGGGAAUCCCUGGGGGAAAAGAGACAAGCAUAGGUCCCUCACAAGAUGCCACCCGCUUCAUACAAGGUAUGUUCUUCCAUCUCUACAUGGGACACAAUCACAUUCAUAUUGAAUCUAUUUGGACUGUCUGACUUUGGUUUGCCUAUUGCCUUGGAGUGUCUGGCAGCACUGUGUUACUGUUAAAGCCACCAGCACGAGCACCUGACGAUGCUGAUCCAGUGAGUACUCCAUCAAAGGCAUACUGUAGGCCUGGCAUGUCUUGUCUACUAGCUUCAAUAUGAAUCCGAUUAAAUGUGAUGGGGUCAAGGCCCCAUUUCAUCAGCACAUAACGGCGAUGAUGAUGAGGAGACCAUCUCUCUGGAUUCCAAAAGGCAUAAGGACCCAGAGUCAUUGGUGCACUGGACUGCACAAACAUAAGGAUAAAAGCCCCCUCAGGUGCCCAUGAGGCAGAUUUUGUAAAUAUGAAAUCUUUUUACAGCAUUAAUGUUCAGGUGAACAUAACUUUUUGAUCUUUUCCAUUGAACACUGGCAAAAUGGCCUGGCUCAGUCCAUGACUCCAGAAUCUUUUGGACCUCUGAAAUCUAUCAGCGCCUAUCACAAGGUGAAUUCUCUGGUGUGUUGCUGGUAGACAGGGGGUAAGGCUGCCAGCCGUUUUUCCUGACACCUUUCACAGACCCCCAGGAAGCACAGCAGGCCUACAACUAUGCCCAUGCUAGGGCCAGAGUUGAAAUGACCUUUGGCCUCCUGAAGGCACGCUCUCACUGCCUUCACAAAUUAAGGGUCAGCCCUGUGAGGGCAUGUGACAUUACUGUGGCUGGUGGUGUCCUCCACAAUGUGGCCUGCCUGAGGAAGGAGAGGGCACCCAGAGUGCCGCCAGCCAUGGACUGGGACAAUCCGGAAAUCUUCCCUGAUGACAACAGUGGUCGGCUGCUGAGUAAUUAUUUUAGUCAGUAUGUGUGCUUUCACAUUUUUUUGAUGUUUGUGCUGUAUACUGUGUGUAUACUGUUUGUAAUACAAGCUUGCAGGGAGGCUACUGCAUCCAUUAAUUGUCUUGUUUUCAGUUGUCUGAAAUUGUCUGUUCAGUUAAUGUGUAUGAAUUUGUCCUGCAUUUAUUUCAGUGUGCAGACAUGCAGGGUGUGUUAUAUACAGACCUUUGAAUGUGUAUUUAUCCUUUGGUUGUAUAAUAUGCUUUGAUUCUGUGCUUUCCAUCUUGUAGAGUCACUGUGUGACUUCAGUUUCGAAAGGAGCUGAUGGUUUACCUGCUUUGUUUUGUCCU